CGGGGCUUCAGGGAAUCCGAAGAGAGUACGCGCGACCGCAGAGCGUGGGAACAGGGAGAUGCGCAGAGCCUCUGGGGACCAGCUUCCUACCCAAAGGGAAGGAAGAGCAAGAAAUGACUGAGGCCCAGCUGAGUUAGAGCUUAUGUAUUCAUUUACUCCCUAUUUUAUUUUCCACUGGAUACUUGGAACCUGCAAAAGGGGAAAUGGAGUCAUUUACAUGAUUUGUAUCGUCCACGAGGAAAACAUGCCAGUUCAUCAGCAGAAGGAAAUAUUUCAUGCCAUUCUCCAGGAAACAAUAAAAUUAGAACUCUCCCUUACUUCCUACACUAAAAUAAAUGCCAGGUGGAUUAAAGAUUUAAAUAUAAAAAUGGAACCAUCAGUGCGUGAGAAGAAAAAAAUGGGAAAGUACUUAUUAUCUUAGACUGAAAUCCUUUGUAGUGAUGCCAUAAAAUUCUGAAGUCGUGAAAGUAUCAAUACACUGUGUUCAUAAAAUUACUGGAUGCUCAAUUAACCUUAAAAACCUUAAAGCCAAACGGCAAGUUGCAAAGAAAAAUUUGCAACAGAUGCAAUCAAUAACGUGCUCCUGCAAAUCAAUAUAAAAGCCCAGCAGUUUAAAAGAAACAGGACAGAGACAAUUCAUAGAUAUGCAGAUCACUUCUAAAUAUGUGACAAUAUGUUCAUCCUCGGUCAUAGUGAAAUGCCAAAGAAAACCUGUGAAAUGCUGUUUUUCAUGUAUCAAGUUGGAAAAGACCAGAAGGAUAUGUAAUACACUGUUGGUGUCACAGGAAGAAGAUACUGACAUGGAAUUAGAAGUGCAGGUGUAUUGGGCACCUGUGAAAGCAAAGUGGGGAAGCAGGAUUGAGCAGUGGGAGCUUCAGACCAUGAUGUCAACCUGACAGACUUGCCGCUAGCCCAACAUAGAGCUCCAGAGCAAAGAUUCACUGUUAGAGGAGUCCCACCUCGCCCUUUGAGCCCCCUCAUUGCUCAGUCAUAGGCUGGAGACAGCCCUGAGAAUAGCAGGCCCUUAGUGCUAAAGCUGAGAUGAAGCCCAGCAGAGCUAACUGGAGUCUCUCCAGUAACCACACUUCUUACAGCCGGGCAAUGAGUCCUUUCUAGAAGAGGAAUCUGAGAGGCUCAUCUCCAUUUGGCUGGAGUUGACAGGUAUGAGGGGAAGCCAAUACUGGGGAGAAAAUACAGAAGUAUCUUUUUUAAUCGUAGUUUUUAAUUUUUAUGUAUUUAUUAUUUUAAGUAGGCUCCAUGCCCAGCUUGGAGCCCAUGGCGGGACUUGAACUCACGAUCCUGAGAUCAAGACCUGGGCUGAAAUCAAGAGUAGGAUGCUUAACCGACUGAGCCACCCAGGUGCCCCUAAAAAUAAUGAACGUUUGAUUUUAUAAAGUAAAAUAUUUCGGAUUACUGCCAAACCACCUUUGAAAACAAAUUUGUUUAUGGAUGAUACGAAAGGAUUAUUUAGAAUCACAGGCAUAUAGUGCAAUGGUGAUUGUGUAUAAUAUAUAGUAGAAAUAUAUGCUUUCUGAACUAUUAUUAAUUAGUCUGCUGAAUUUAUGCUAAUCAGACUAAAUUAUGACUAUCUUUAUAACUUGAUUCUAAUAGAUAAUGGGCAUAAUUUAGUCAGAUACUAUAUAGAAUGUUAGUAAUGAAGCCAUAUAUUUAAUGUAUGGAAUUAAAUAUUCUAACCAAUCCUCUGUGGUCUUUUUUCUGUAAAAGGAUGAGAGAAUAAAUAUUUUAGGCUUUGUAAACCAUUAAAAGACAUCAAGUAAUGGAAUGGAUAAAAAAAGCAAGACCCAUCAUUUCAGACCAAAGACAUCUGCACAUGGGAAGUGAGGGGAUGGAGAAACAUCGCUCAUGCAAAUGGAUGUCAAAAAAAGCAGGGGAUGCAUCUGGGUGGCUCAGUCAGUUAAACAUCUGCCUUCAGUUCAGGGUCCUGGGAUUGAGCCCCACACUGGGCUCCCUUCUUCCUCCUCUGUUUCUCCCCAUGCUCAUGUUCUCUCUUUCUCUCCCUCCCUCCUCUCUCAAGUAAAUAAAUAAAAUCCUUAUUUUUUAUUAUUUUUAAAUUUAUUUUUAUUAUGUUAU
Long non-coding RNA from Mustela lutreola (European mink), 2091 nucleotides. RefSeq lists it as uncharacterized. The transcript has 3 exons. The record is from RefSeq and is a predicted model, not a curated record. NCBI's taxonomy places the organism in Eukaryota, Metazoa, Chordata, Mammalia, Carnivora, Mustelidae.